This 253-nucleotide ribosomal RNA is filed under the name uncultured bacterium. RNAcentral's name for it is "partial 16S ribosomal RNA". It matches the Rfam family "Bacterial small subunit ribosomal RNA", at positions 524 to 776 of the family's 1533-position model. The record is from RNAcentral.
UACGUAGGGUGCGAGCGUUGUCCGGAAUUAUUGGGCGUAAAGGGCUCGUAGGCGGUUUGUCACGUCGGGAGUGAAAACUCGGGGCUUAACUCCGAGCCUGCUUCCGAUACGGGCUGACUAGAGGUAUGCAGGGGAGAACGGAAUUCCUGGUGUAGCGGUGAAAUGCGCAGAUAUCAGGAGGAACACCGGUGGCGAAGGCGGUUCUCUGGGCAUUACCUGACGCUGAGGAGCGAAAGUGUGGGGAGCGAACGGG